This 1720-nucleotide long non-coding RNA is filed under the name Pelobates cultripes (western spadefoot toad). The record is from RNAcentral. Lineage: Eukaryota; Metazoa; Chordata; Amphibia; Anura; Pelobatidae.
UGAAAUGUAAGGUGCUUUAUUUAAGUACUGGGGAUCAAUAUACUGGGGACAAAUAUACGCAAAAUUCUUUAAAAAUGCUCUGCUUGAUAUAUUUGGCUAGUAAGUGAAAACAACCCCACAAACAAUGAAAUUAUUAUUCAAACAGAAAAUAAAGUAGAAGCCUAAAUAUGACAUAUUCACAUGGUUAAUCAUUAAACUGGGAAUUAACAGGAAUUUUUAUUAUAGUUUAUAAAGCUCUAACAUUUCCCGCUCUCUAAUGAGCUCUUUAGACAAACAAGUCCUAAGUAUCGAUGGGGUCUCUGGAUUUAAAAACAAAUCUUAAAAACAAGAUAGAAAAGUUCAAUAAUGUUAAUCAGAGAGCACCAUUUAUUAGACAGCAUGUGACAAGCAUCCAUUAAUUAGCACAUUGAGGGUUUGUGUAUGCUACAGGAAUCCUGUGUGUCCGGAUUACACAGUAGUGACAGCAACAUUCACCUAUGUGGGACUGUUAAGGACACUGCUGGUUUGCGUUCCUUUUAUGAAAAAUUUCUUUUUUCUUAAAUCUGUUUAUGAAGCAUUAAUAACUAAUGAAUAUAACUAUUUUAUUGAAUAUUUUAUAUCUCUUGUGAUAUGUAAUUUACAAGAGAGCAGCUACUCAACUAGAGUUAAUGUAAAGUGACACUCUUAGUACCAAACCUUUAUAAAUAACUAUUAUUAUAUAAUGCAUUAAAAAAGUGUCACUACUAACCUGAAGUGUCACUUUCAUUUUUCCUUGUAAUGCCUGCAAUAUAGGUUAUGUGUUAAGGAACACUUUAAGUACCAUAGCCACUAUAUUGUGAUAGUUAUGAUGCCAGGAGUGCGCUGCACUACCCAAUAUAAGUAGUCAAACCAUUUUGUUAUGGUUUAACUUCUUACCUGGGGUCCACUGGGUGCUGCUCCUGCCUCCUCUCUGCCUUUGUGAAAGCCGGAAAGUCCUUGGGUCCUUCUGUGUGAGCGAAACCAUGCAGUGCAGGACCAACACCACUGGGCUCAGCUCAGUGAACAGAACAUGUGACUGAGUGGAGGCAGGGAACGGUGCCCAAGGAACUCCAGGUAAGUAAAACUGUUACUAAACUACUGGCACCAUAACCACUAUAGUGUGCCAUGGUGGUUAUGGUGCUUGGAUUGUUCCUUUAUUAGCACAUACUUAUUCAUAGUUUUACACAAAACAGGGUUUCUAUAAACUGUGAAUUAUCAAAGAACUAACCAAAGGAUUUCAAAUUGCAGGCAAAAAUGCAGCUUAACAAAUAGCUGCAAUUGGCAACAAUUUCCAGUUUGAGUACAUUGGUCUAAAAUGUUGUAUUUCCUUGUCCAUUCCUGACAAAUUCCAGUAUUGUGAAUAUAACUGAUACUUUUAGAAAGAGGAUGGCUCAUAAGAUUUAAAAGUUUCUUCGAUUAUCACAAAAUCCUUCCAGGAAACACUGGUUACCUCUUCUGUGGGUUGUUAGAGAAAAUGAGAGCAUUUAAGACCUAGCAAUUACCUGCCAUACUUGUAAACUAGGGGAAUGAGGGUCUACAGCAGUGGUUCCGAACCCAGUCCUCAAGAACCCUCUAACAGUCCAGGAUUUAGGGAUUACCAAGUUGUGUCUAAGGUGUUUUUAGCAAAAAAAACAAAAACACUUUAGACAACAGAGUAAUCCCUAAAUCCUGGGCUGGUAUGGGGUACUUGAGGACUGGGUAGGAAACCCCUGGUCUACAGACU